RNAcentral lists this ribosomal RNA (771 nucleotides) under uncultured bacterium. RNAcentral's name for it is "bacterial SSU rRNA". It matches the Rfam family "Bacterial small subunit ribosomal RNA", at positions 62 to 812 of the family's 1533-position model. The record is from RNAcentral.
UCGAACGCGAAAGGCCCCUUCGGGGGCCGAGUAGAGUGGCGCACGGGUGAGUAACACGUAGGUAAUCUACCUCUGGGUGGGGAAUAACAGCCGGAAACGGCUGCUAAUACCGCAUAAUGCAGCGGCACCACAUGGUGACAGUUGUUAAAGCGGGGGAUCGUAAGACCUCGCGCCUAGAGAUGAGCCUGCGGCGGAUUAGCUAGUUGGCAGGGUAACGGCCUACCAAGGCAACGAUCCGUAGCCGGCCUGAGAGGGCGGACGGCCACACUGGCACUGACAUACGGGCCAGACUCCUACGGGAGGCAGCAGUCGGGAAUUUUGGGCAAUGGGCGAAAGCCUGACCCAGCAACGCCGCGUGAAGGAUGAAGCUUUUCGGAGUGUAAACUUCAUAAGAAUGGGACGAAUAAGGAGGGGUUAACACCCCCUUUGAUGACGGUACCAUUUGUAAGCUCCGGCUAACUCCGUGCCAGCAGCCGCGGUAAUACGGGGGGAGCAAGCGUUGUUCGGAUUACUGGGCGUAAAGGGCGCGUAGGCGGCGCAACAAGUCACUUGUGAAAUCUCCGGGCUUAACCCGGAGCGGCCAAGUGAUACUGUCGUGCUAGAGUGCGGAAGGGGCUACUGGAAUUCUCGGUGUAGCGGUGAAAUGCGUAGAUAUCGAGAGGAACACCUGCGGCGAAGGCGGGUAGCUGGGCCGACACUGACGCUGAGGCGCGAAAGCCAGGGGAGCGAACGGGAUUAGAUACCCCCGGUAGUCCUGGCCUUAAACGAUGG